GACGAACGCUGGCGGCGUGCUUAACACAUGCAAGUCGAACGGAAAGGCCCUGCUUUUGUGGGGUGCUCGAGUGGCGAACGGGUGAGUAACACGUGAGUAACCUGCCCUUGACUUUGGGAUAACUUCAGGAAACUGGGGCUAAUACCGGAUAGGAGCUCCUGCUGCAUGGUGGGGGUUGGAAAGUUUCGGCGGUUGGGGAUGGACUCGCGGCUUAUCAGCUUGUUGGUGGGGUAGUGGCUUACCAAGGCUUUGACGGGUAGCCGGCCUGAGAGGGUGACCGGCCACAUUGGGACUGAGAUACGGCCCAGACGCCUACGGGAGGCAGCAGUGGAGAAUAUUGCACAAUGGGCGGAAGCCUGAAGCAGCAACGCCGCGUGCGGGAUGACGGCCUUCGGGUUGUAAACCGCUUUCGCCUGUGACGAAGCGUGAGUGACGGAAAUGGGUAAAGAAGCACCGGCGAAUUACGG
Molecule: ribosomal RNA, 467 nt
Filed under: uncultured bacterium
Lineage: Bacteria
Description: partial 16S ribosomal RNA
Rfam family: Bacterial small subunit ribosomal RNA
Source: RNAcentral